UGGGGAAUAUUGGACAAUGGGCGCAAGCCUGAUCCAGCCAUGCCGCGUGAGUGAUGAAGGCCCUAGGGUUGUAAAGCUCUUUCACCGGUGAAGAUAAUGACGGUAACCGGAGAAGAAGCCCCGGCUAACUUCGUGCCAGCAGCCGCGGUAAUACGAAGGGGGCUAGCGUUGUUCGGAUUUACUGGGCGUAAAGCGCACGUAGGCGGACUAUUAAGUCAGGGGUGAAAUCCCGGGGCUCAAACCCGGAACUGCCUUUGAGACUGGUAGUAUUGAGUUCGAGAGAGGUGAGUGGAAUUCCGAGUGUAGAGGUGAAAUUCGUGUAUAUUCGGGGGAAAACCAGGGGCGAAGGGGGCGCACUGGCUCGAUACUGACGCUGAGGUGCGAAAGCGUGGGGAGCAAACAGG
This 404-nucleotide ribosomal RNA is filed under the name Actinomycetes bacterium. RNAcentral's name for it is "Actinobacteria bacterium partial 16S ribosomal RNA". It matches the Rfam family "Bacterial small subunit ribosomal RNA", at positions 355 to 776 of the family's 1533-position model. Lineage: Bacteria; Bacillati; Actinomycetota; Actinomycetes. The record is from RNAcentral.